GUGUCUGUGGUGUAGCGGUUAUCACGUCCACUUUACACGCGGAAGGUCUCAGGUUCGAUUCCUGACAGACGCA
RNAcentral lists this transfer RNA (73 nucleotides) under Centruroides sculpturatus (bark scorpion). RNAcentral's name for it is "tRNA-Val". It matches the Rfam family "tRNA". Rfam says of the family: Transfer RNA (tRNA) molecules are approximately 80 nucleotides in length. Lineage: Eukaryota; Metazoa; Arthropoda; Arachnida; Scorpiones; Buthidae. The record is from RNAcentral.